CCUGCGGGUGAGAACAAGUGGGUCUCUGACUCUUGUGCCUUCUCUUGGGCUCUUUUCCUUCUGUUUGUUUUGUUUAAUUCUUUUGUGUUGUUUUUUUAAAUCUUGCUAUACUUUAUUAUCUGCUAUAAGCCUGUUGUUUUUCUAAUGAGAGAAAGGAAGUGGAUCUGGGUGGGAGGGAAUGUCAGGAGGAACUAGGGGGAGUAGACGGAAGGGAAACUGUAAUCAGGAUAUGGUAUGUGAGAACAAAAUUUAUUUUCAGUAAAAGGAGAAAAAAAGAGUUGUAUGUGUGUGUUCUCCUUGGAUCCACCCACAGAAAGCACUCAAGACAGAAAGUGACUAAAACAUUAGUUUAUAGUGAAAACUGGAAAGUGAUCCAAAGCCCCGUUACAGACGUUGACAGCUACAACACAGAUGCACAUUCAGUGCCUAAAGAACCUAGGGAAGACCCUCGGGUCACGUCAGCAUAGUAUAGGGUUUCUCCUUCAGGGGAUUCAAAUACUGGGCUCUCCUCAGAUACAUCUUUUAGAAAGAAGCAUAAGUCCAGCCUGUCUUAGCUGCACCCAGCCCACCACACAGAUUCUGUUCAAGUCACAGGACAGGACAGUAGGGGGUACUGUAGG
This 620-nucleotide long non-coding RNA is filed under the name Rattus norvegicus (Norway rat). RNAcentral describes it as "long non-coding RNA NONRATT014944". The record is from RNAcentral. Lineage: Eukaryota; Metazoa; Chordata; Mammalia; Rodentia; Muridae.